This 207-nucleotide ribosomal RNA is filed under the name Escherichia coli. RNAcentral's name for it is "partial 23S ribosomal RNA". It matches the Rfam family "Bacterial large subunit ribosomal RNA", at positions 2110 to 2316 of the family's 2925-position model. Lineage: Bacteria; Pseudomonadati; Pseudomonadota; Gammaproteobacteria; Enterobacterales; Enterobacteriaceae. The record is from RNAcentral.
CUUGACACUGAACAUUGAGCCUUGAUGUGUAGGAUAGGUGGGAGGCUUGGAAGUGUGGACGCCAGUCUGCAUGGAGCCGACCUUGAAAUACCACCCUUUAAUGUUUGAUGUUCUAACGUUGACCCGUAAUCCGGGUUGCGGACAGUGUCUGGUGGGUAGUUUGACUGGGGCGGUCUCCUCCUAAAGAGUAACGGAGGAGCACGAAGG